AGAUUUGUCAAGCGCGGAGAAACAAGGUCUAUUUCGGGAAGGGACUGCAGCGGCCGCGGUCGGCAGCUGCAGGAGCCCAGGAACCCCAGGCUACGUGAUUAAAAUUUCAGACCUUGGCACAAGCGCUUUGACCGUGACGGGGUGUUGUGACGGUAUCCCUCAUAAAAUCAAGCAGAAUCCUGGGCGUGGAAGACUGACCUGCGUAAACUGCCCUCGUUCAUCUCUGCUUUCCACGGGGUUCCAUCCAUGAAUGGCAAAGGCCGAGCACAAGGAGUGGGCCAUUGUCACCAAGAAAAUUCUAUGAGUUAUCACAUCCACCCACCAUCACUACAACUGUUGACCCUGUCCAGAUAAGUCAAUGAGAAAAAAGUUGGUGUGAAGAGAAAAUGCGUUGAAGUCAGAGGGAAAGAGAAAUAAAAGACCAUGUCUCCGGAGAAAGAGCCUAAGAUAAUGGCUCUCCUGCUCUGUGUGAAAUAUUGAUGUCUACUUGUAGUAAACCCCGGAAUUGUGACCACGCACCCAUAACAACUAUUAGCAACACCCUGUGUGCCCCGAGUACCACACACCUCUUCUUUAUACUUAGAGUUCAUUUUGCUGUCAGAAUUGGGAGACUUUCCUGUGAGAUUUUCUCAUUCCAGCCUUUCAUCUUCCAAAUAGUGUUCUGAUAUAUUUCGGUUGUUUUAUUUGCUCCACGAGGGAUCAAAUUAACCAUAACUCUGGCCCAUGGCAUGCACCAUUAUUGAUGUCUUUUAGUAAAAACUCUCUUGUUCA
Long non-coding RNA from Peromyscus leucopus (white-footed mouse), 771 nucleotides. RefSeq lists it as uncharacterized. The record is from RefSeq and is a predicted model, not a curated record. Lineage: Eukaryota; Metazoa; Chordata; Mammalia; Rodentia; Cricetidae. The transcript is spliced from 5 exons.